UUGGAGGGACGGGACUGAGCUCCUAGGGACCAAAUGGAAGUGAAGCUGGGUGUGGGUGACAUUCGCUUUUGUUUGUAGUGUGGUGUGUAGGUGUCAACUAACAGUACUUUCCUGGUCCCUACUUCGGGUUCCCAGCUAUAUCUAAUAAUAAAAAUAAUAAUUUUGGAGGGUCCCGUGGAUGGUUCAGCGGAUAAAGAAUGGUAUUUGCCACCAAGCCGCCGACCUGAGUUCCAUCUUCAGAAGCCACAAGAGGAUUCUACAGACCCAACUCAGAUUCUCCAGAUCAAUAGAAGCCCCAGGCCUGCAGGAUGAAAGCAAGGUUAGAGCCCAGAGCAGCCACGUUGCGUCUUCUGGAAUGUGCUGGAUAUGAGAGAUUCUGCUCCAACUGGGGAAAGCAUAGCACGGUUGGAAUGGAAAUGCGCAGUCAUCCAAACACUCUUCAUUUCUCUUGGAAUUUUUGAGAAGUCCUGUGAAGGUCCUGGAGAAACGGCUCAGCGGUUAAGAGUACUUGUUGAUCACAUCAAGGACCCAGGUUUGAUUCUCAACACCCAUGGGACAGUUCACGGCCACCUCUAACUCCAGUUUCAAAGGAGGAUACCCUCUUCAGGCCUCUAUGGGUACUGCAGACACAUGAUGCAUAGA
Arvicola amphibius (Eurasian water vole) is the source of this 642-nucleotide long non-coding RNA. RefSeq lists it as uncharacterized. NCBI's taxonomy places the organism in Eukaryota, Metazoa, Chordata, Mammalia, Rodentia, Cricetidae. The record is from RefSeq and is a predicted model, not a curated record. The transcript is spliced from 3 exons.